AUUUUUUAUUAUUGAGUGAAUGCAAUGAGCCAUCGUAAUUUACGACACCAGUAAAGGUAAGGAAUUAUUAAUCUAAUCACUUAGGCAAUUUAAAUCGCUAUACUAUCAUAUAUAUUGAUUCAAUUUAUAAUUGUAUAAAUUUAAAAGAAAUCGAUUUAUUUCUGUAAUGAGAACAGAGGAAUGAACAGUCAAAUUGCUUUCACCCUUAUUGAAGAGCUUGUUUGAGUUGAAUGUUCAAAAUAACUGCUGCCCCUGUUUAUUCACAUAAUAUAAAAGGUGAGGCAUUGUUGUAAGUUAGAUAAGGUCACAAAAGUUAUCUUAGGGAAAUGACAAAUGACUUUGUUCUAGUUAGAUGAUGAUGCCUUGAUUUGCAUAUGAAAUCGAUUUUCUGUGCUGCAUUGACCAGCUAAUCUGUCAGCUCUGAAGCUAGCAUUAACCCAGCAAACCCAAUUAACAUGAGUUUGCAAUAUUUCCACUGCAAGCAACCCAGCAGCACCAUAAAAGCAAGUGAGAAAAGUUUUGCAAAGCUAAGCAUUAACCCAUUGGUAUGCAGCUCAGUUCUAGGAUUUAAUUCGAUAAUGUUGAUAGUUGGUGGUUAUGUUGCCAAUGUUUGCUGACAAAGCUUGACUUUAGCAUAUCCUAAAAUCAUUAUUCUGAAAAUGUAUUUAUGUCUUUGUUGUAGAAGUCAUGGAAUGUAAACCAGAAGAGCUCUGCGAUCAGACAUUUGACCGAUGGACCAGGAAGCUCGGAGGCGGGACUUAUUCAUCAGAGGUCUAUGAGAGCGGGCCAGGCACAGUUAUACAUAAUAUACAUACACUUCAUAGGGUUUGUGUAUGUUGUUUGGUUGUUGUAAAUGCUAAUACAUUUGUUUCAAAAGAUAAAGCUUUUGUGUUAAUUAACAAUACAUCAGAGAAAGACAGAGGUAAAUGUGGAAUAAUAUUACAGAUUUAAUUGGUGCCGAGUUGGUGUACAGUAAUCCUUUCAAUCUGACAGUUGAGAAGUGUGCAUUGUUGCAGGAGCCGAAGUGACAUCCAGAUUAAUAUGAAUAGGGCCCUUGUGUACAUGCACAUGAUGAGCAUCACGUCACACAUCAGCAUGGUUGCCACUGCUGCACACUGGUAAUGUAUAUGGUCAUACAAAUGUUCACCUACAAGAACAAUUACUGGGUAUUCACUGCUUCCCAGUACCCACAGGUAUUACACAUGUAACCAAAGUAAUGUUGAAGUACUAAUAGUCAGAGAUGUUAAACAAAUGCCUAUUUAUGUGCAGUACAGUACAGACAUUAAAGUUGUUCUAGCUAUUGUGUGAUUAGUGUUGAUCAUACAGUCAACAGCAACAGGAUAGUAGGGCCUGCCUCUUCUUCCCACACAUUCAGUGAAGCAGUUGGUCUCUCAACUCAUUCAGCAUGGAUGACAGUCUUGACACAAUCCUCUCCAUCCAUCUCCAUCUCAUGCCUCGUUAUUGCGACAUUCAUGUUUUUUCCCAUCUAUUGAAAGUUAGGAUAUUAAACAUGUUGCAUUCUA
Gadus morhua (Atlantic cod) is the source of this 1523-nucleotide long non-coding RNA. RefSeq lists it as uncharacterized. The record is from RefSeq and is a predicted model, not a curated record. NCBI's taxonomy places the organism in Eukaryota, Metazoa, Chordata, Actinopteri, Gadiformes, Gadidae. The transcript has 2 exons.